GACGAACGCUGGCGGCGUGCUUAACACAUGCAAGUCGAACGGAAAGGCCCUGCUUUUGUGGGGUGCUCGAGUGGCGAACGGGUGAGUAACACGUGAGUAACCUGCCCUUGACUUUGGGAUAACUUCAGGAAACUGGGGCUAAUACCGGAUAGGAGCUCCUGCUGCAUGGUGGGGGUUGGAAAGUUUCGGCGGUUGGGGAUGGACUUGCGGCUUAUCAGCUUGUUGGUGGGGUAGUGGCUUACCAAGGCUUUGACGGGUCGCCGGCCUGAGAGGGUGACCGGCCACAUUGGGACUGAGAUACGGCCCAGACUCCUACGGGAGGCAGCAGUGGGGAAUAUUGCACAAUGGGCGGAAGCCUGAAGCAGCAACGCCGCGUGCGGGAUGACGGCCUUCGGGUUGUAAACCGCUUUCGCCUGUGACGAAGCGUGAGUGACGGUAAUGGGUAAAGAAGCACCGGCUAACUACGUG
RNAcentral lists this ribosomal RNA (468 nucleotides) under uncultured bacterium. Its description in RNAcentral is "partial 16S ribosomal RNA". It matches the Rfam family "Bacterial small subunit ribosomal RNA", at positions 28 to 507 of the family's 1533-position model. The record is from RNAcentral.